This 253-nucleotide ribosomal RNA is filed under the name uncultured bacterium. Its description in RNAcentral is "partial 16S ribosomal RNA". It matches the Rfam family "Bacterial small subunit ribosomal RNA", at positions 524 to 776 of the family's 1533-position model. The record is from RNAcentral.
UACGUAGGGUGCGAGCGUUGUCCGGAAUUAUUGGGCGUAAAGAGCUUGUAGGCGGUUUGUCGCGUCUGCCGUGAAAACCUGGGGCUCAACCCCGGGCCUGCAGCCGAUACGGGCAAGCUAGAAUUCGGUAGGGGAGACUGGAAUUCCUGGUGUAGCGGUGAAAUGCGCAGAUAUCAGGAGGAACACCGGUGGCGAAGGCGGCGUUCUGGACUGCAACUGACACUGAUGAACGAAAGCCAGGGGAGCAAACGGG